This 464-nucleotide ribosomal RNA is filed under the name uncultured bacterium. RNAcentral's name for it is "partial 16S ribosomal RNA". It matches the Rfam family "Bacterial small subunit ribosomal RNA", at positions 29 to 507 of the family's 1533-position model. The record is from RNAcentral.
ACGCACGCUGGCGGCGUGCUUAACACCUGCCAGUCGCACGGUAAGGCUCCAGCUUGCUGGGGUACACGAGUGGCGAACGGGUGAGUAACACGUGGGUGACCUGCCCUGCACUUCGGGAUAAGCCUGGGAAACUGGGUCUAAUACCGGAUAGGACCGCACCGUGAGGGUGUGGUGGAAAGUUUUUUCGGUGUGGGAUGGGCCCGCGGCCUAUCAGCUUGUUGGUGGGGUAAUGGCCUACCAAGGCGGCGACGGGUAGCCGGCCUGAGAGGGUGGACGGCCACAUUGGGACUGAGACACGGCCCAGACUCCUACGGGAGGCAGCAGUGGGGAAUAUUGCACAAUGGGCGGAAGCCUGAUGCAGCGACGCCGCGUGGGGGAUGACGGCCUUCGGGUUGUAAACUCCUUUCACCAUCGACGAAGGGUUUCUGACGGUAGAUGGAGAAGAAGCACCGGCUAACUACGUG